Molecule: long non-coding RNA, 345 nt
Filed under: Homo sapiens (human)
Lineage: Eukaryota; Metazoa; Chordata; Mammalia; Primates; Hominidae
Description: HSALNT0029460
Source: RNAcentral
CCUCCUCCAAAGCAGUCCCUCAGAACCCCUCCUGGUUUCAGUCUGGAUCCCACCACAUGUUGAAUGGCACCCUCUCAAUCUGGGACAGCGUCCGUUGAUUUUCUCCUGUGAUAAAUGAUUGUUGACAAACAUCCUGAAAUAACUUUAAAAGACGGAUUGGAAGAGUAUGAGGACCAUGGCUUAUUCUUAUUCACCAUUAUGUCCUUACAGUGCCUGGAGUAGGGAUGGCACAGAAGAACUAUUCAGCACAUGAAGCAGUGAAUGAAAAGACAAAAGGGCAAGAAAAGGAGAGAACAGUGGAGAAAAAAGAUUUUAAUUAAAUACAUGUGGGAAUUUAUCUCUGGC